GGGACCGACCUUCGGGAGCCUAUACAGGUGUUGCAUGGCUGUCGUCAGCUCGUGUCGUGAGAUGUUCGGUUAAGUCCGCUAACGAGCGCAACCCUCGUCGUAUGUUAUAUGUGUCAUACGAGACUGCCGGUAAAAGCCGGAGGAAGGUGAGGAUGAUGUCAAGUCAGCAUGACCUUUAUAUCCAGGGCUACACACACGCUACAAUGGUCUGUACAAUGGGUAGCCAAGCCGCGAGGCGGAGCCAAUCCUGAAAAGCAGGCCUCAGUUCAGAUUGCAGUCUGCAACUCGACUGCAUGAAGGCGGAAUCGCUAGUAACCGCGAAUCAGCAGGUCGCGGUGAAUACGUUCCCGGGCCUU
RNAcentral lists this ribosomal RNA (356 nucleotides) under uncultured Anaerolineaceae bacterium. Its description in RNAcentral is "bacterial SSU rRNA". It matches the Rfam family "Bacterial small subunit ribosomal RNA", at positions 1007 to 1382 of the family's 1533-position model. Lineage: Bacteria; Bacillati; Chloroflexota; Anaerolineae; Anaerolineales; Anaerolineaceae. The record is from RNAcentral.